GCCCCCUUAGCUUAGAGGUAAAGCGCCGACCUUCUACUUUCGAAUGGCGAGUCGGAGAUCGCGGGUUCGAGCCCCGCAGGGGGUU
Molecule: non-coding RNA, 85 nt
Organism: Microbotryomycetes sp. JL201
Lineage: Eukaryota; Fungi; Basidiomycota; Microbotryomycetes
Source: the annotation of a GenBank genome assembly